Molecule: ribosomal RNA, 435 nt
Filed under: uncultured bacterium
Lineage: Bacteria
Description: partial 16S ribosomal RNA
Rfam family: Bacterial small subunit ribosomal RNA
Source: RNAcentral
AACGAACGCUGGCGGCAGGCCUAACACAUGCAAGUCGAGCGGACAUCUUCGGAUGUUAGCGGCGGACGGGUGAGUAACGCGUGGGAACGUGCCCUUUGCUUCGGAAUAGCCUCGGGAAACUGGGAGUAAUACCGGAUGUACCCUUUGGGGGAAAGAUUUAUCGGCAAAGGAUCGGCCCGCGUUGGAUUAGGUAGUUGGUGGGGUAAUGGCCUACCAAGCCGACGAUCCAUAGCUGGUUUGAGAGGAUGAUCAGCCACACUGGGACUGAGACACGGCCCAGACUCCUACGGGAGGCAGCAAUGGGGAAUCUUAGACAAUGGGGGAAACCCUGAUCUAGCCAUGCCGCGUGAGCGAUGAAGGCCUUAGGGUUGUAAAGCUCUUUCACCGGGGAAGAUAAUGACGGUACCCGGAGAAGAAGCCCCGGCUAACUCCGUG